Non-coding RNA from Caenorhabditis elegans, 21 nucleotides. The record is from Ensembl. Lineage: Eukaryota; Metazoa; Nematoda; Chromadorea; Rhabditida; Rhabditidae.
UUUAGCGGAUUUUUUACAGCC